CACGUAGGGUGCGAGCGUUGUCCGGAAUUAUUGGGCGUAAAGAGCUCGUAGGCGGUGUGUCGCGUCGGCCGUGAAAACCUGCAGCUUAACUGUGGGCGUGCGGUCGAUACGGGCAUCACUGGAGUUCGGCAGGGGAGACUGGAAUUCCUGGUGUAGCGGUGAAAUGCGCAGAUAUCGGGAGGAACACCGGUGGCGAAGGCGGCAUCCUGGACCGGCACUGACGCUGAGGAGCGAAAGCCAGGGGAGCAAACGGG
Molecule: ribosomal RNA, 254 nt
Filed under: uncultured bacterium
Lineage: Bacteria
Description: partial 16S ribosomal RNA
Rfam family: Bacterial small subunit ribosomal RNA
Source: RNAcentral